RNAcentral lists this unclassified non-coding RNA (297 nucleotides) under Hevea brasiliensis (rubber tree). Lineage: Eukaryota; Viridiplantae; Streptophyta; Magnoliopsida; Malpighiales; Euphorbiaceae. The record is from RNAcentral.
GGGGAGACAUGAUUCCUCUCUGCUAACAAUGUGAUAAAUAUAUACAAACAAGUAAUCAGCAUUUGUUAUGAACAAUAAACCUUAUUAUUAUCAACCAACAACUUCAAUGAAUUUAUUUGAUGCCCAUCUCUUAGCCACAUCAGAAACCUUAUUUUCCUCAACCUGUAACAGUCUCAACUUUGGUGAAUUCAACACAAAUAACUCAACACCCUGUGCCUCAAUCCCACAACAAUACAUUGCAUCAACACUUUGUAAUUUCUUGCAACACUUAGCCAAUGAAACCAUAGAUAAAUUUGU